CCAAAGUAAUAAGGGCAUACGGUGGAUGCCUAGCCAGCUAGAGGCGAAGAAGGACGUGGCCAGCUGCGAAAAGCUGCGGGGAGCUGCAAGCGAGCAAAGAUCCGCAGAUAUCCGAAUGGGGAAACCUGCCGAAAGGCAUCCUGAAAAGGAAGCGAAACUGGGGAAGGGAAACAUCUUAGUACCCAGGCGAAAAGAAAUCAAACGAGAUUCCCUAAGUAGUGGCGAGCGAAAGGGGAAGAGCCCAAACACAUACGAUGGAAAAGCGGACAGGCGUUGUCGUAUGUGGGUAGAGGGAUCCAGCUACCCGACUGUCCGAUAGGGGGCUGAGGAAAUAAGGUAAGUGGAAAGGAUUGGGAAAUCCUACCGAAGAGGGUGAAAGUCCCGUACACGUAAACUUAUGACACAGCUGCUGGAAUCCCAAGUAGCGUGGGACACGAGAAAUCCCGCGUGAAUCCGGGUGGACCUCCAUCCAAGGCUAAAUACUCUAGCAGAGCGAUAGAGGAUAAGUACCGUGAGGGAAAGGUGAAAAGCACCCCGGGAGGGGAGUGAAAGAGAACCUGAAACCGUAUGCCUACAGGAAGCGGGAGCGGAAGUGACCGCGUUCCUUUUGAUUAAUGAGCCUGCGAGUUAUGUUUAAUGGCGAGGUUAAGCCGGAGAAGGUGAAGCCGCAGGGAAACCGAGUAUGAAUAGUGCGAAAGUCAUUAGACAUAGACCCGAAGCCAGGUGAGCUACCCAUGCGCAGGGUGAAGCUUGGGUAAAACCAAGUGGAGGCCCGAACUGGUGGAUAGUGAAAAAUUCUCAGAUGACGUGUGGGUAGGAGUGAAAAGCUAAACGAACCUGGAGAUAGCUGGUUCUCCCCGAAACGUGUGUAGGCACGGCCUCUGUAGAAGAAAGUUAAGGAGGUAGAGCACUGGAUGGCGUAGGGGGGUGACCUCUGAAACCAACCAAACUCCGAAUGCCUUAACUGGAUGACAGGGAGAAAGACUGUGGGGUAUAAGCUUCAUGGUCGAGAGGGAAAAAGCCCAGACCGACAGCUAAGGUUCCGAAGAAGUGGCUAAGUGGGAAAGGAAGUGGACCUCUUGAGACAGUCGGGAGGUUGGCUUAGAAGCAGCCAACCUUUAAAGAGUGCGUAACAGCUCACCGAUAGAAGGGGACUGCGCCGAAAAUGAAACGGAGCUAAAGCCACACACCGAAGCUACGGUAUAACCGAAAGGUUAUAGGUAGGGGAGCGUUGUGCGAUAGGGAGAAGGGUGAUUGAGAAGUCAUCUGGACGAAGCACAAGAGAGAAUGCAGGCAUGAGUAACGAGAUGGGAGUGAGAAUCUCCCACCCCUAAAGUCUAAGGGUACCUGGGGAAGGGUCGUCCGCCCAGGGUAAGCCGGGACCUAAGGUGAACUCGAAAGAGGUAACCGAUGGACAACGGGUAAAGAAUCCCGUGCCUGUAUAUAACGAGUUACAAGGGGUGACACAGGAGGUGAAGCUGCCGAGAUUAAGUUGCAAGUCUUCCAAGCGACGAUGCCUGAGAAGCCGGUAGGGAAAACCGCCGGUGGAGGAGGAGUCGUGAUGGGGAGGCCGUAAGGCCAACGGUGGCUAAUCAAACUGUCGAGAAAAGCCUCGUGUAGCGUAUGAGUUAUAUACAGCCCGUUCUGCAAACCGACACAGGUAGACUGGCUUAGAAGGCUAAGGGGAGCGGAAUAACCUUCGUUAAGGAACUAGGCAAAAAGGCCCCGUAACUUCGGGAGAAGGGGUGGACUGUGCUGGUGGAAACGCUGGUACAGAGCCGCAGUGACAAGUCCCUAGCGACUGUUUACCAAAAACACAGGUCUCUGCGAACACGGAAGUGGACGUAUAGGGACUGACGCCUGCCCAGUGCCGGAAGGUUAAGGGGAGGGGUGAAAGCUCCGAACUGAAGCCCCGGUAAACGGCGGCCGUAACUAUAACGGUCCUAAGGUAGCGAAAUUCCUUGUCGGGUAAGUUCCGACCUGCACGAAUGGCGUAACGACUUGGGCGCUGUCUCGACGGGGGACUCGGCGAAAUUGUAGUACCUGUGAAGAUGCAGGUUACCCGCGACUAGACGGAAAGACCCCAUGGAGCUUUACUGUAGCCUGGUAUUGGACUUUGGUAUGGGAUGUAUAGGAUAGGUGGGAGACAUGGAAGCCGGUACGCUAGUAUCGGUGGAGUCGCCGGUGGAAUACCACUCUUUCCAUACUAGGGUUCUAACUAGCGGCCAUAAUCUGGUCAUAGGACAGUAUCUGGUGGGCAGUUUGACUGGGGCGGUCGCCUCCUAAAAGGUAACGGAGGCGCCCAAA
Molecule: ribosomal RNA, 2307 nt
Filed under: bioreactor metagenome
Description: bacterial LSU rRNA
Rfam family: Bacterial large subunit ribosomal RNA
Source: RNAcentral